AUCCUUUUGUGGUUCACCAGUGUGAAGACUUGGCUCGCAUACCUUUGUGUGAGAUGUGUGUUCCUCCCACCUUCUAUGACCUCCACACUGUACAUCCAUUUGAUG
Oryctolagus cuniculus (rabbit) is the source of this 105-nucleotide small nucleolar RNA. NCBI's taxonomy places the organism in Eukaryota, Metazoa, Chordata, Mammalia, Lagomorpha, Leporidae. The record is from Ensembl.